Molecule: transfer RNA, 85 nt
Filed under: Felis catus (domestic cat)
Lineage: Eukaryota; Metazoa; Chordata; Mammalia; Carnivora; Felidae
Also listed under: 2 other names
Rfam family: tRNA
About the family: Transfer RNA (tRNA) molecules are approximately 80 nucleotides in length. Their secondary structure includes four short double-helical elements and three loops (D, anti-codon, and T loops).
Source: Rfam by way of RNAcentral
GCCUGAGUGGCUCAGUCAGUUAAGUGUCUGACUUCGGCUCAGGUCAUGAUCUCACCAUCUGUGGGUUCGAGCCCCACGUCGGGCU